Molecule: long non-coding RNA, 182 nt
Organism: Sander lucioperca (pikeperch)
Lineage: Eukaryota; Metazoa; Chordata; Actinopteri; Perciformes; Percidae
Exons: 3
Source: RefSeq, a predicted model, not a curated record
CUGCUUCCUCGUAGAGACAGACUAAGGCCGGCUACAUACUGGCUGCGUCUCGUGAGCGUGUCAGCUGCGUGGCGUGUCUGUUUUUAUUUUGGCUCCCAUGUUAACAGGUUAGAGCUUACACACUGCCUGUGUGACAGGCACGUCUCGAGCCACGCCGAAAACACGUGCAUGCUAGAAAUAGA